GCCAGUGUGGUGUAGUGGUCUGAGCACUGGACUACAACUCUGGAGACCAGGAUUCAAUUCCCCACUCAAGCA
Non-coding RNA from Phrynosoma platyrhinos (Desert horned lizard), 72 nucleotides. The record is from the annotation of a GenBank genome assembly. NCBI's taxonomy places the organism in Eukaryota, Metazoa, Chordata, Lepidosauria, Squamata, Phrynosomatidae.